Rattus norvegicus (Norway rat) is the source of this 371-nucleotide long non-coding RNA. RefSeq lists it as uncharacterized. The record is from RefSeq and is a predicted model, not a curated record. NCBI's taxonomy places the organism in Eukaryota, Metazoa, Chordata, Mammalia, Rodentia, Muridae.
ACAACCCAAGAGGCCUAGCUGGAAUAAUGUAAGAUUGCACAUUAGGAGGGAGGGCGUAGAGGUGGAUACCUGAGUCCAGCACACCAGGAGGUUGACAAGAGCAUGGAGCAGCCAAGAACUGCCAAAGAAAAGCCAGUGUCUGGGAACUGCUAAAGCAGCCACUGAUGCUUGAACAGCACCUUCUACUUUACAAAGAAUUCUCACAGGUCAGAGUUUCUGGGAUAUAGUAGGUAAUACUUUCAAGACGUCGUCCUCUUCUGUGAAAAGUGGUCCUUCCAAUGGGAAGAAGGAAAGCAGGCUACACUGUCUAUAGUUCGUGGGCACUGGUCCUUUGUUAUCUCCAUGAUACAUAAAAAUAUUAUUAGUGUGAA